GAAAGUAAGCAAGGGCAGACGGUGGAUGCCUUGGCUCUCGGAGGCGACGAAGGACGUGAUAAGCUGCGAAAAGCCCGGGGGAGGCGCAAAUAGCCGUUGAUCCCGGGAUAUCCGAAUGGGGCAACCCGGCAGGCUGAAGGCCUGUCAUCCCGAAAGGGAGGCGAACGUGGGGAACUGAAACAUCUAAGUACCCAUAGGAGGAGAAAAUAAACAAUGAUUCCGUAAGUAGUGGCGAGCGAACACGGAAGAGCCCAAACCCAUGUCGUCUAGGCGACACGGGGGUUGUAGGACCACGACGUGGCAAGAUAGAGUCAAGUGGAACGCCUUGGAAAAGGCGGUCAUAGAGGGUGAAAACCCCGUACACGACUGACGAUUGAAGCCUAGUGGCAUCCUGAGUAGCGCGGGGCACGAGAAAUCUUGCGUGAAUUAGCGGGGCCCAUCCCGUAAGGCUAAAUACUCCCGAGAGACCGAUAGCGAACCAGUACCGUGAGGGAAAGGUGAAAAGAACCCCGAGCAGGGGAGUGAAAUAGACCCUGAACCCGUCUGCCUACAAGCGGUCGGAGCGUCGUAAUGACGUGACGGCGUGCCUUUUGCAUAAUGAACCUACGAGUUACCUUCCCCGGCAAGGUUAAGUUCUUGAGGAACGGAGCCGAAGCGAAAGCGAGUCUGAACAGGGCGCCAAGUCGGGGGGGGUAGACGCGAAACCGAGUGAUCUACCCUUGGCCAGGUUGAAGGUUGGGUAACACCAACUGGAGGACCGGAUGGGUAAGCGUUGAAAAGCUUUCCAAUGAGCUGAGGGUAGGGGUGAAAGGCUAAUCAAACUCGGAGAUAGCUCGUACUCCCCGAAAUGCAUUUAGGUGCAGCCUCUUUAUAGUAUAUCGUGAGGUAGAGCGACUGAUUGGAUGCGAGGGCUUCACCGCCUAUCAAGUCCAGAUAAACUCCGAAUGCGCGAUAUAUAUUUAAAGGGAGUGAGGGCGCGGGUGCUAAGGUCCGUGUCCGAGAGGAGAAGAAUCCAGACCACCGGCUAAGGCCCCCAAAUGAUCGUUAAGUUGAACUAACGAGGUCGGAUCGCAGAGACAGCUAGGAUGUUGGCUUGGAAGCAGCCAUUCAUUUAAAGAGUGCGUAACAGCUCACUAGUCGAGCGAUCUGGCGUGGAUAAUAAUCGGGCAUAAACGAUCUGCCGAAGCCGUGGAUGUCGCAAGACAUGGUAGGGGAGCAUUCCAUGCGGCGUCGAAGAUGAGGGAUGACCCUUGUUGGAGCGCAUGGAAAAGCAAAUGUAGGUAUGAGUAACGAUAAGGGGGGCGAGAAACCCCCCCGCCGAAAGACCAAGGUUUCCUGAUCAACGCUAAUCGGAUCAGGGUGAGUCGGGACCUAAGGCAAAGCCGAACGGCGCCGCCGAUGGAAGAAUGGGUUAAUAUUCCCAUACUGCCUCAUGGAGUGACGUGGAGACGGAGAAGUGACAGUCCUGCCGGCUGACGGAAUAGCCGGUUGAAGGGUGUAGAUAUUGAUUCCCGUAGGCAAAUCCGCGGGGAGAGUCGAACCUGAGAGUAUACGGAGCGCUUGCGCAACGUAAUAUGGACGUAACCAUGCUCCCGAGAAAAUCCGCUAAACUUAUCCAUGCGGCACCCGUACCGUAAACGGACACACGUGGUCGGGUUGAGAAUACUGAGGCGCUCGAGUGAUUCACGGUUAAGGAACUAGGCAAAUUGACCCUGUAACUUCGGGAUAAAGGGUCCUCGUCGUAAGGCGAGGCGCAGAGAAUAGGUCCAGGCAACUGUUUAACAAAAACACAUGGCUGUGCUAAAUGGAAACAUGAUGUAUACAGCCUGACACCUGCCCGGUGCCGGAAGGUUAAGAGGAGAUGUCAUCCGCGAGGAGAAGCGUUGAAUUGAAGCCCCGGUAAACGGCGGCCGUAACUAUAACGGUCCUAAGGUAGCGAAAUUCCUUGUCGGGUAAGUUCCGACCUG
This 1967-nucleotide ribosomal RNA is filed under the name human gut metagenome. RNAcentral describes it as "bacterial LSU rRNA". It matches the Rfam family "Bacterial large subunit ribosomal RNA", at positions 1 to 1990 of the family's 2925-position model. The record is from RNAcentral.